This 852-nucleotide ribosomal RNA is filed under the name marine bacterium enrichment culture clone C09-B5-S7. Its description in RNAcentral is "bacterial SSU rRNA". It matches the Rfam family "Bacterial small subunit ribosomal RNA", at positions 75 to 961 of the family's 1533-position model. The record is from RNAcentral.
AGACUUCGGUCUGUGGACACUGGCGAAAGGGCGAGUAAUGCAUUCGAACGUGCCCCGAGGUGGAGGAUAGCCGUGGGAAACUGCGGGUAAUACUCCAUGUGCUCUUCGGAGGAAAGCUCCGGCGCCUUGGGAGCGGCGAAUGUCCUAUCAGGUUGUUGGUGAGGUAAAGGCUCACCAAGCCAAAGACGGGUAGCGGGUGUGAGAGCAUGACCCGCCGCAUCGGGACUGAGACACUGCCCGGACUCCUACGGGAGGCUGCAGUAACGAAUAUUCCGCAAUGCGCGAAAGCGUGACGGAGCAAUGCCGCGUGUGGGAUGAAGCGGUUACGCCGUGUAAACCACUGUCAGGGUCUAGGAAGAACUGACCAGACCCAGAGGAAGGGCCGGCUAAUCUCGUGCCAGCAGCCGCGGUAAGACGAGAGGCCCAAGCGUUAAUCGGAAUCACUGGGCUUAAAGGGUGCGUAGGCGGACUUGUAGGUAUGUCGUGAAAUCCCUCGGCUCAACCGGGGAACUGCGGUGUAAACCACAAGUCUUGAGGUAGGUAGAGGUUGUCGGAACGUUCGGUGGAGCGGUGAAAUGCGUUGAUAUCGAACGGAACGCCUAAGGUGAAGACAGGCAACUGGGCCUUACCUGACGCUGAGGCACGAAAGCGUGGGGAUCAAACAGGAUUAGAUACCCUGGUAGUCCACGCCGUAAACGAUGUGCACUAGACCGAUGCGGGUCUGACCCCGUGUCGGUCGUAGAGAAAUUAUUAAGUGCACCGCCUGGGGAGUACGGUCGCAAGACUAAAACUCAAAGGAAUUGACGGGGGCUCACACAAGCGGUGGAGCAUGUUGCUUAAUUCGAAGCAACG